Molecule: long non-coding RNA, 293 nt
Organism: Equus quagga
Lineage: Eukaryota; Metazoa; Chordata; Mammalia; Perissodactyla; Equidae
Exons: 3
Source: RefSeq, a predicted model, not a curated record
CCGAGUCACUUUGGGCCCCUCAAUGCUGAGCGACAGAGAUGGCUCCGAAGGACCACAGCAAAAGGAGAAAAUCGACUAGAGUACUAAAACUUCAAGGUCUUAAACUGUCAGAUCUGUGACACAAAGGACUGGAGCCCCGACUACUGAUCCUUCUGAAGGGAUUUUGGCUUAGAUAACAUAUUGAUGCUGUGCCCCAGGUCUCCAGUGAACGCUGUCAAAUUAGCAGGAGUCACUAAAACAUAUCGGCUGGCAGUGGCCUUGGCAACAGUUUCCUGGAUAUGACACCAAAAGCA